This 298-nucleotide long non-coding RNA is filed under the name Mytilus galloprovincialis (Mediterranean mussel). Lineage: Eukaryota; Metazoa; Mollusca; Bivalvia; Mytilida; Mytilidae. The record is from RNAcentral.
AUCGAAUUCGCGUUUCUUUACCGUCAGAAUAAGUUACGUUAUCGACAAACUUAUUUCAGAAGUGACAUAAUUUAAUUUUCUUCAUCGACAAAAUAUUUCUUGUCCAACGUGUAAGUUUUCAUUGUUUAAGUCGAAGUUUUUUUAACACAGUAAAACAUUUUUUAUAAUCAACCUCUGUCAUUAGCAUUUUCAUUAGCUUCACACUAAUAUUUUAACGGUAAAGGAUCAAAUACGGGAUCUCCGAAAUUUCUAUCAUUUGUUACGGGGAAAUCAUUAUUCAAUCGAACAUAUGUCUUUG